UGGUUAUACAUAGCCUCACUAUGAGUAGC
RNAcentral lists this non-coding RNA (29 nucleotides) under Rattus norvegicus (Norway rat). Lineage: Eukaryota; Metazoa; Chordata; Mammalia; Rodentia; Muridae. The record is from RNAcentral.